Molecule: ribosomal RNA, 332 nt
Filed under: Laonice sp. VR-2006
Lineage: Eukaryota; Metazoa; Annelida; Polychaeta; Spionida; Spionidae
Also listed under: 2 other names
Description: eukaryotic LSU rRNA
Rfam family: Eukaryotic large subunit ribosomal RNA
Source: RNAcentral
AUCACUAAGCGGAGGAAAAGAAACUAACCAGGAUUCCCCUAGUAACGGCGAGUGAAGAGGGAAGAGCCCAGCACCGAAUCCCCUACCCUCGCGGGUUGCGGGAACUGUGGUGUUUGGGAGAGCCUCUGAGGCGCGCGGCGGACCUUCCGAGUCUCCUUGACGGGGGCUUCGCCCAGAGCGGGUGUCAGGCCUCUAGGUUGCCCGCCGCCGUCUCUCUGAGCCUCCCCGGAGUCGGGUUGUUUGAGAUUGCAGCCCAAAGUGGGUGGUAAACUCCAUCUAAGGCUAAAUACUGGCACGAGACCGAUAGCAAACAAGUACUGUGAAGGAAAGUU